AACGAACGCUGGCGGCAGGCCUAACACAUGCAAGUCGAGCGCCCCGCAAGGGGAGCGGCGCACGGGUGAGUAACGCGUGGGAACGUGCCUUUCGGUUCGGAACAACUCAGGGAAACUUGAGCUAACGCCGGAUACGCCCUUCGGGGGAAAGUUUAUCGCCGAAAGAUCGGCCCGCGUUGGAUUAGCUAGUUGGCGGGGUAAAGGCCCACCAAGGCGACGAUCCAUAGCUGGUCUGAGAGGAUGAUCAGCCACACUGGGACUGAGACACGGCCCAGACUCCUACGGGAGGCAGCAGUGGGGAAUUUUGGACAAUGGGCGCAAGCCUGAUCCAGCCAUGCCGCGUGAGUGAAGAAGGUCUUCGGAUUGUAAAACUCUUUCGUUGGGGACGAUAAUGACUGUACCCAAAGAAGAAGCCCCGGCUAACUUCGUGCCAGCCGCCGCGGUAA
This 446-nucleotide ribosomal RNA is filed under the name uncultured bacterium. RNAcentral's name for it is "partial 16S ribosomal RNA". It matches the Rfam family "Bacterial small subunit ribosomal RNA", at positions 29 to 523 of the family's 1533-position model. The record is from RNAcentral.